Molecule: long non-coding RNA, 1135 nt
Organism: Ctenopharyngodon idella (grass carp)
Lineage: Eukaryota; Metazoa; Chordata; Actinopteri; Cypriniformes; Xenocyprididae
Exons: 4
Source: RefSeq, a predicted model, not a curated record
UAUUUCAUUCUCUCGCGCCCAGUCCAUCAUUCUUUCAGCUCUCGCGCUCGGCGCUUGUUUGCUGACGAACAAAACCCGAUAAAGGAUGUAAAUGAAUGAAAGGAGAGAGGCUCGUGCACGCAGAGCUGGAACAAAAGCAAACGAAGCUCAAAUGGAGGAGCGAUUAGAUGCUGCAGAGGCUCAGAGCUGCUUCUCCUCCAACUUUCAUCCCUCACUUUCAUCUGAAGCUGAAGACACGAGCACACGAACGUGCCGAAAGCGUCUCAUCGAUGCUGAACUCUUCUUCAGCUCAUACAGAGAGAUGGAGAGAUAAACAUGUGAAGUUCACAGACAGCUCUGGCCAGCGGCGCUCCGGCUCUCGUCCUCUCGAGGCGAGCGCUAGCAUGCGGAGGCUGGGAAGUCUUUGAGGAUGCCGGACGCUCAGAACAGCCCGAGAGAUUGAUAUGAGAAAGAGAAAGCGAUGUGGGUCCGGUCUCGCCUGCAGGAGAAUCAGCAGAGAUUAGACGUGAAAGACAAAUUGGGAUGGAUCUGACCUGCUGAUGAGAUCCUCCGUCACUCUGAAGAUUCACUGAUGUCACUUCCUGUGAUGCUGGAAGACGGACUCAGUCACAUCCAACUGGAGGAUGAAUUUGUGAUUUAACUUCACCCACGGACUUUAGCGCUGAUGGAAACAAACACAGACCAUCAGAAACUAUCGGUCCUGCUCUGGUUUUUAUGAUCUUGUUCAUAUUUUUACUGGCUUCCAGUGUAGAAAACAAACACAUUCUGGAUGUUUGCUGUUUUACAUCAUCAUCACCUGCAGAAGCACAUGGAGGUUCACAGCACACAGGUGAGCUCAUAAAACAGGUAAGUGAAUCUAAAAAUGCACAUGCUGAUAGAUAGAGACGCUUAGUGUUGCAUUUCAACCGCUGAAUGUGACUGAUUCUCUGUUUCACACACACUUUCUCCUCAAGCACUCUGUAUGAAUUAUAAAAUCUGUACAUGAAUAUUUUAAUAACAUUUGGACCUGUAAUGUAAUGACCCACAGAAAAUAAUACUGAAAUGAGCAAUUAAAUACCAGUAAAGCUGUAAUUUAUCAUUUAAACCUUGAACAAUACUGAAUGUGUGAUGAUAUUCAAUAAAGCCUCUACUUAUA